Molecule: non-coding RNA, 1454 nt
Organism: Coturnix japonica (Japanese quail)
Lineage: Eukaryota; Metazoa; Chordata; Aves; Galliformes; Phasianidae
Source: RefSeq, a predicted model, not a curated record
UUUCUGGAGUUUGCUGUUUUGUGGUGUUUUUGUGAUGUUCCUCAACACUGCUGUGGAUUCGUUCUGGCUGGAAGCUUCAGCAUUGAUGCUGUUUCUAAACUCAUUCCGGGAUAAAAUGAAUUUGCCAGCAAGAUGGAAGAUGUCACUUGAGACAGAAGUACUCAAGUGAAACUGCCCUAAGUGUCGAGGCUGCCAUCAUCAUGGGAACAGUUAUCAUUUAAAGGAUCAGCUGAGACAUCUAAGGACAAGUUGAUAAAAUGAUCUUAAAAAAAACCUGGCAGGACCAAUGAUUUACAAAUAAGACUGGAUGCCCUAUGAUGCAACUUCAUAAAUGGCUGGAGAAGAAGUGAAGCGUUCUGCUUAAGGCUCUGAGUCUUAUGGAAGCGGUCACUUGGCAUGCUUUUAAACUCUGUGGCUCAGAGCUAAGAUCUCUUCUUUGUGUAGUUCUUUGGUGAGCCUUGACAUCCGUGAGUACCUGUCUUGAAGGCCUCAGAGUUGUUUCAAUUAUCCUGAGCUAGUGCAAGUACAGGCAUCGAGGAGAACUGUUAUAAAAUGACAGUGAGGCUUUUGAGAACAUGCUGGACUUGCUGAUAUGAGCUGUUUUGUGAUAUGUACCUGCAGAUAAGAAGCAUGAAAGAAGUGGGAACUGAAGCAACCAAAGUGGAUUAACAGUGAUGUGGGGGACAAAGCUCUGUGAAGGCAGCAGAUUUCUGAGACGAAAACACUUCAUUGGAAGGCAGCCUGCCUGUGUGCUGAGACUGCGUAUGAUUACUGUAAGCAGCCUGUGUAACUGAAACAGAUCAGCCACCUGUACGGUGCAGGUAAAUAAAAGGAAUUCAUGAAGAAAGGCUGAUUGAACAGGAGAAACAGCAAUCGCAGCUGUUUACACUGUCAUCCAAAUGGAAGAAAAGAGUUAGCACUUGACUACUGAUGCAUAGCAAGUUGGAAAUGCUUUCCUUUGAAUGGGGAAAGAAUACUACCAGAGUCUUUGGAAAGUUCAUAUGAUUUAUUUUUCUCUAGACCAAUUCGUUUUCUUUCCUGAUCGUACAAACUUCAUGAAGGAUUAGCAUCUUAAAUAUCUGAGCUUUGUAGGCUUAGUUGACUGCAAAUCCUGACUUUGGUGUUUAUUGUGGAACCUGUCACAGAAAACUUUGUGUUCUCCAUAGUGACAUUCCUCUAUAAGCCAUUUUUAAAUGAUAUAUGGAGCACAAACAAUUGGAGGACUAAUAACAUCAUCUUGGCAUGUGAAGAUAUUUGAAUAAAAUUGACUCUUUUUCUUUUUUUAAACUAAAAUUAUUUCUAAAUACUUCUUUUCCCUAAGUGUUGACAAAGUAAAAUUUGGGGUUUAGUUUUUAACAGAGUCAAGUUACUAACAUCUUGAAAUAACCUUAUGUGAAAUUGAGGGGUAAUGUAUAUAAAGAAGGCAGUGAGAAGAAUUCAUUUAUUCUUACUUU